CUCAGAUUGAACGCUGGCGGCAUGCUUUACACAUGCAAGUCGAACGGCAGCGCGGGGCAACCUGGCGGCGAGUGGCGAACGGGUGAGUAAUAUAUCGGAACGUACCCAAGAGUGGGGGAUAACGUAGCGAAAGUUACGCUAAUACCGCAUACGAUCUAAGGAUGAAAGUGGGGGAUCUCNGGACCUCAUGCUCCUGGAGCGGCCGAUAUCUGAUUAGCUAGUUGGUGAGGUAAAGGCUCACCAAGGCGACGAUCAGUAGCUGGUCUGAGAGGACGACCAGCCACACUGGGACUGAGACACGGCCCAGACUCCUACGGGAGGCAGCAGUGGGGAAUUUUGGACAAUGGGCGCAAGCCUGAUCCAGCAAUGCCGCGUGAGUGAAGAAGGCCUUCGGGUUGUAAAGCUCUUUUGUCAGGGAAGAAACGGCUGAGGUUAAUACCUUCGGCUAAUGACGGUACCGAAG
Molecule: ribosomal RNA, 463 nt
Filed under: soil bacterium 4V-16
Lineage: Bacteria
Description: bacterial SSU rRNA
Rfam family: Bacterial small subunit ribosomal RNA
Source: RNAcentral